Molecule: ribosomal RNA, 254 nt
Filed under: uncultured bacterium
Lineage: Bacteria
Description: partial 16S ribosomal RNA
Rfam family: Bacterial small subunit ribosomal RNA
Source: RNAcentral
UACGAAGGGGGCUAGCGUUGCUCGGAAUCACUGGGCGUAAAGGGUGCGUAGGCGGGUCUUUUAAGUCAGGGGUGAAAUCCUGGAGCUCAACUCCAGAACUGCCUUCGAUACUGGAAGACUCGAGUCCGGGAGAGGUGAGUGGAACUGCGAGUGUAGAGGUGAAAUUCGUAGAUAUUCGCAAGAACACCAGUGGCGAAGGCGGCUCACUGGCCCGGUACUGACGCUGAGGUGCGAAAGCGUGGGGAGCAAACAGG